UUAAGUUAUUAAGGGCGCACGGUGGAUGCCUUGGCACUAGAAGCCGAUGAAGGACGUUACUAACGACGAUAUGCUUUGGGGAGCUGUAAGUAAGCUUUGAUCCAGAGAUUUCCGAAUGGGGAAACCCAGCAUGAGUUAUGUCAUGUUAUCGAUAUGUGAAUACAUAGCAUAUCAGAAGGCACACCCGGAGAACUGAAACAUCUUAGUACCCGGAGGAAGAGAAAGAAAAUUCGAUUCCCUUAGUAGCGGCGAGCGAAACGGGAAGAGCCCAAACCAACAAGCUUGCUUGUUGGGGUUGUAGGACACUCUAUACGGAGUUACAAAGGACGACAUUAGACGAAUCAUCUGGAAAGAUGAAUCAAAGAAGGUAAUAAUCCUGUAGUCGAAAAUGUUGUCUCUCUUGAGUGGAUCCUGAGUACGACGGAGCACGUGAAAUUCCGUUGGAAUCUGGGAGGACCAUCUCCUAAGGCUAAAUACUCUCUAGUGACCGAUAGUGAACCAGUACCGUGAGGGAAAGGUGAAAAGCACCCCGGAAGGGGAGUGAAAUAGAACCUGAAACCGUGUGCUUACAAGUAGUCAGAGCCCGUUAAUGGGUGAUGGCGUGCCUUUUGUAGAAUGAACCGGCGAGUUACGAUUUGAUGCAAGGUUAAGCAGUAAAUGUGGAGCCGUAGCGAAAGCGAGUCUGAAUAGGGCGUUUAGUAUUUGGUCGUAGACCCGAAACCAGGUGAUCUACCCUUGGUCAGGUUGAAGUUCAGGUAACACUGAAUGGAGGACCGAACCGACUUACGUUGAAAAGUGAGCGGAUGAACUGAGGGUAGCGGAGAAAUUCCAAUCGAACCUGGAGAUAGCUGGUUCUCUCCGAAAUAGCUUUAGGGCUAGCCUCAAGUGAUGAUUAUUGGAGGUAGAGCACUGUUUGGACGAGGGGCCCCUCUCGGGUUACCGAAUUCAGACAAACUCCGAAUGCCAAUUAAUUUAACUUGGGAGUCAGAACAUGGGUGAUAAGGUCCGUGUUCGAAAGGGAAACAGCCCAGACCACCAGCUAAGGUCCCAAAAUAUAUGUUAAGUGGAAAAGGAUGUGGCGUUGCCCAGACAACUAGGAUGUUGGCUUAGAAGCAGCCAUCAUUUAAAGAGUGCGUAAUAGCUCACUAGUCGAGUGACACUGCGCCGAAAAUGUACCGGGGCUAAACAUAUUACCGAAGCUGUGGAUUGUCCUUUGGACAAUGGUAGGAGAGCGUUCUAAGGGCGUUGAAGCAUGAUCGUAAGGACAUGUGGAGCGCUUAGAAGUGAGAAUGCCGGUGUGAGUAGCGAAAGACGGGUGAGAAUCCCGUCCACCGAUUGACUAAGGUUUCCAGAGGAAGGCUCGUCCGCUCUGGGUUAGUCGGGUCCUAAGCUGAGGCCGACAGGCGUAGGCGAUGGAUAACAGGUUGAUAUUCCUGUACCACCUAUAAUCGUUUUAAUCGAUGGGGGGACGCAGUAGGAUAGGCGAAGCGUGCGAUUGGAUUGCACGUCUAAGCAGUAAGGCUGAGUAUUAGGCAAAUCCGGUACUCAUUAAGGCUGAGCUGUGAUGGGGAGAAGACAUUGUGUCUUCGAGUCGUUGAUUUCACACUGCCGAGAAAAGCCUCUAGAUAGAAAAUAGGUGCCCGUACCGCAAACCGACACAGGUAGUCAAGAUGAGAAUUCUAAGGUGAGCGAGCGAACUCUCGUUAAGGAACUCGGCAAAAUGACCCCGUAACUUCGGGAGAAGGGGUGCUCUUUAGGGUUAACGCCCAGAAGAGCCGCAGUGAAUAGGCCCAAGCGACUGUUUAUCAAAAACACAGGUCUCUGCUAAACCGUAAGGUGAUGUAUAGGGGCUGACGCCUGCCCGGUGCUGGAAGGUUAAGAGGAGUGGUUAGCUUCUGCGAAGCUACGAAUCGAAGCCCCAGUAAACGGCGGCCGUAACUAUAACGGUCCUAAGGUAGCGAAAUUCCUUGUCGGGUAAGUUCCGACCCGCACGAAAGGCGUAACGAUUUGGGCACUGUCUCAACGAGAGACUCGGUGAAAUCAUAGUACCUGUGAAGAUGCAGGUUACCCGCGACAGGACGGAAAGACCCCGUGGAGCUUUACUGUAGCCUGAUAUUGAAAUUCGGCACAGCUUGUACAGGAUAGGUAGGAGCCUUUGAAACGUGAGCGCUAGCUUACGUGGAGGCGCUGGUGGGAUACUACCCUAGCUGUGUUGGCUUUCUAACCCGCACCACUUAUCGUGGUGGGAGACAGUGUCAGGCGGGCAGUUUGACUGGGGCGGUCGCCUCCUAAAAGGUAACGGAGGCGCUCAAAGGUUCCCUCAGAAUGGUUGGAAAUCAUUCAUAGAGUGUAAAGGCAUAAGGGAGCUUGACUGCGAGACCUACAAGUCGAGCAGGGCCGAAAGACGGACUUAGUGAUCCGGUGGUUCCGCAUGGAAGGGCCAUCGCUCAACGGAUAAAAGCUACCCCGGGGAUAACAGGCUUAUCUCCCCCA
Molecule: ribosomal RNA, 2493 nt
Filed under: Staphylococcus aureus 88088-2
Lineage: Bacteria; Bacillati; Bacillota; Bacilli; Caryophanales; Staphylococcaceae
Description: bacterial LSU rRNA
Rfam family: Bacterial large subunit ribosomal RNA
Source: RNAcentral